AUGAAGCUCGACGUGAACGCCCUCCGCUACCUCUCCAAGGAUGACUUCCGCGUCCUCACCGCCUGCGAGAUGGGCAUGCGCAACCACGAGAUCGUGCCCGCGGAGCUCGUCGACCGCAUCGCCGGAUUGAAGCAUGGAGGCACAUAUAAAGUGCUGCGGAAUCUGUUGAAGAACAAACUGGUGCACCAUGAUUGUAAAAAAUAUGAUGGGUUUCGGCUCACAUACCUUGGGUAUGACUUCCUCGCCAUAAAAACUUUGGUUAAUCGUGGAGUCUUUGCUUCGGUUGGUCGCCAAAUCGGUGUUGGAAAAGAGUCAGAUAUAUUUGAGGUUGCCACGGAGGAUGGAACAGUGUUGGCCAUGAAGCUUCAUAGGUUGGGUAGGACAUCUUUUAGGGCUGUCAAAUCAAAGCGUGACUAUUUAGCUCACCGGAGGAGCUUUAACUGGCUGUACCUAUCACGACUUGCGGCCUUAAAGGAAUUUGCUUUUAUGAAGGCUUUAGGAGACCAUGGAUUCCCUGUUCCCACAGCGGUGGACUGCAAUCGGCACUGUGUGAUCAUGUCACUUGUGCCGGGAUAUCCACUUGUUCAGAUAAGAGAAUUGCAAAAUCCAGAUGAUGUUUUUGACAAAAUUCUUGGUCUUGUAAUUCGUUUGGCGGAGCAUGGGCUGAUACAUUGUGAUUUUAAUGAAUUCAAUAUCAUGAUUGACGAUGAUGAAACUGUUACGAUGAUCGACUUCCCACAGAUGGUAUCUGUUUCGCACCGGAAUGCCCAGAUGUAUUUUGAUCGAGAUAUUGGGUGUAUCUACAAGUUCUUCAACAAAAGGUUCAAUCUUACAGAGAAAGGUGGACAAGAUGGUUCUGAAACUGAUGAUGAUGACAGUGGCAGGCCGUCCUUUCUGUCCAUUCAAAAGUCUUCUGGUGCCUUGGACAAAGAACUAGCUGCCAGUGGCUUCACCAAAAAAGAGCAAGUUGAGAUAGAAAAGUUCAUUGAUGAGAAUGCUGAAGAACACGAUUCCGGCUCAGAUGAUGAGGAUUCAACAUCAGAACAGGAUAGUGAAGGUGGCGAUGCCGUGUCUGCUGAAAUCAGUUCCUUGAAAAUAGUAGACCAGGACCCUGCAGGUGUGCCUGAUCUUGUUGUGAUGGAUUCAGAUAAACAUGAAACUUUAUCUAAAGAGCAUGCAACAAGCACAAGUCCCAGUGGCGAGAACAAAUCGACAGAUCCAGCCGACGAUGGCAUCGUGGACCCUAAGGGAGCCGAAUCAGGAGGCGACGACGACGAUGACUCGUCUGAGGAUACCGAGGAUGAAGAUGACGCAUUGCUGACAAAGCAGCUGAACAAGCAAAGGAAAAGGGCGAUGGCAGCCGCCCUCGGGCGUAGAAGGCCCCUCAACUCGAGGAACGCUUACAAGGAUAAGGGCAAGGGCACCAUGAACUCCAAGAUCCAGAGGCAAGCCUGCCAAUGGUGA
Molecule: ribosomal RNA, 1464 nt
Filed under: Triticum aestivum (bread wheat)
Lineage: Eukaryota; Viridiplantae; Streptophyta; Magnoliopsida; Poales; Poaceae
Description: partial small subunit ribosomal RNA
Source: RNAcentral